This 447-nucleotide ribosomal RNA is filed under the name uncultured bacterium. RNAcentral describes it as "bacterial SSU rRNA". It matches the Rfam family "Bacterial small subunit ribosomal RNA", at positions 86 to 518 of the family's 1533-position model. The record is from RNAcentral.
ACAAGGUUAGCGGCGGACGGGUGAGUAACACGUAGGCAACCUGCCUACAAGAUCGGGAUAACAUUCGGAAACGGAUGCUAAUACCGGAUACACAGUUUGGCUGCAUGGGUGAACUGGGAAAGGCGGAGCAAUCUGCCGCUUGUAGAUGGGCCUGCGGCGCUUUAGCUAGUUGGUGAGGUAACGGCUCACCAAGGCGACGAUGCGUAGCCGACCUGAGAGGGUGAUCGGCCACCCUGUUACUGAGACACGGGCCAGACUCCUACGGGAGGGAGCAGUAGGGAGUCUUCCGCAAUGCACGAAAGACUGACGGAGCGACGCCGCGUGAGUAAUGUAGGUUCUCGAAUCGUAAAGCUCUGUUGCCAGGGAAGAACAGCGAGGCGAGUACCUGCGCUUCGAGUGACGGACCCUGAAAAGAAAGCCCCGUUUAACUACGUUCUCAGCAGCCGC